GAUGAACGCUGGCGGCGUGCCUAAUACAUGCAAGUCGAGCGGACUUACAAAAGCUUGCUUUUGUAAGUUAGCGGCGGACGGGUGAGUAACACGUGGGCAACCUGCCCUUGAGACUGGGAUAACUUCGGGAAACCGGAGCUAAUACCGGAUAAUAUAAGGAACCUCCUGGUUCCUUAUUGAAAGAUGGUUUCGGCUAUCACUUAAGGAUGGGCCCGCGGCGCAUUAGCUAGUUGGUGAGGUAACGGCUCACCAAGGCGACGAUGCGUAGCCGACCUGAGAGGGUGAUCGGCCACACUGGGACUGAGACACGGCCCAGACUCCUACGGGAGGCAGCAGUAGGGAAUCUUCCACAAUGGACGAAAGUCUGAUGGAGCAACGCCGCGUGAGUGAUGAAGGCCUUCGGGUCGUAAAGCUCUGUUGUUAGGGAAGAACAAGUGCGAGAGUAACUGCUCGCACCUUGACGGUACCUAACCAGAAAGCCACGGCUAACUACGUGCCAGCAGCCGCCGUAACAC
Molecule: ribosomal RNA, 515 nt
Filed under: uncultured bacterium
Lineage: Bacteria
Description: bacterial SSU rRNA
Rfam family: Bacterial small subunit ribosomal RNA
Source: RNAcentral